GACGAACGCUGGCGGCGUGCUUAACACAUGCAAGUCGAACGGAAAGGCCCUGCUUUUGUGGGGUGCUCGAGUGGCGAACGGGUGAGUAACACGUGAGUAACCUGCCCUUGACUUUGGGAUAACUUCAGGAAACUGGGGCUAAUACCGGAUAGGAGCUCCUGCUGCAUGGUGGGGGUUGGAAAGUUUCGGCGGUUGGGGAUGAACUCGCGGCUUAUCAGCUUGUUGGUGGGGUAGUGGCCUACCAAGGCUUUGACGGGUAGCCGGCCUGAGAGGGUGACCGGCCACAUUGGGACUGAGAUACGGCCCAGACUCCUACGGGAGGCAGCAGUGGGGAAUAUUGCACAAUGGGCGGAAGCCUGAUGCAGCAACGCCGCGUGCGGGGUGACGGCCUUCGGGUUGUAAACCGCUUUCGCCUGUGACGAAGCGUGAGUGACGGUAAUGGGUAAAGAAGCACCGGCUAACUACGUG
Molecule: ribosomal RNA, 468 nt
Filed under: uncultured bacterium
Lineage: Bacteria
Description: partial 16S ribosomal RNA
Rfam family: Bacterial small subunit ribosomal RNA
Source: RNAcentral